This 466-nucleotide ribosomal RNA is filed under the name uncultured bacterium. RNAcentral's name for it is "partial 16S ribosomal RNA". It matches the Rfam family "Bacterial small subunit ribosomal RNA", at positions 339 to 795 of the family's 1533-position model. The record is from RNAcentral.
CUACGGGACGCACCAGUGGGGAAUAUUGGACAAUGGGGGAAACCCUGAUCCAGCAAUGCCGCGUGUGUGAAGAAGGCCUGCGGGUUGUAAAGCACUUUCGGUUGGGAGGACUGCUUCUAGCACUAAUAUUGUUGGAAGUUGACGUUACCUUCAGAAGAAGCACCGACUAACUCCGUGCCAGCAGCCGCGGUAAUACGGAGAGGUGCAAGCGUUAAUCGGAAUUACUGGGCGUAAAGCGCGCGUAGGCGGCUAGAUCAGUCGGGUGUGAAAGCCCCGGGCUUAACCUGGGAACUGCAUCCGAUACUGUCUAGCAUGAGUACAGGAGAGGAGAGUGGAAUUCCACAUGUAGCGGUGAAAUGCGUAGAUAUGUGGAGGAACACCAAUGGCGAAGGCAGCUCUCUGGCCUGAUACUGACGCUGAGGUGCGAAAGCGUGGGGAGCAAACAGGAUUAGAUACCCGCGUAGUC